RNAcentral lists this ribosomal RNA (683 nucleotides) under uncultured bacterium. RNAcentral describes it as "bacterial SSU rRNA". It matches the Rfam family "Bacterial small subunit ribosomal RNA", at positions 28 to 706 of the family's 1533-position model. The record is from RNAcentral.
GAUGAACGCUGGCGGCGUGCUUAACACAUGCAAGUCAAACGAAGCACUCUAUUUGAUUUUCUUCGGAAAUGAAGAUUUUGUGACUGAGUGGCGGACGGGUGAGUAACGCGUGGGUAACCUGCCUCAUACAGGGGGAUAACAGUUGGAAACGACUGCUAAUACCGCAUAAGCGCACAGGAUUGCAUGAUCCGGUGUGAAAAACUCCGGUGGUAUGAGAUGGACCCGCGUCUGAUUAGCCAGUUGGCAGGGUAACGGCCUACCAAAGCGACGAUCAGUAGCCGACCUGAGAGGGUGACCGGCCACAUUGGGACUGAGACACGGCCCAAACUCCUACGGGAGGCAGCAGUGGGGAAUAUUGCACAAUGGGGGAAACCCUGAUGCAGCGACGCCGCGUGAGCGAAGAAGUAUUUCGGUAUGUAAAGCUCUAUCAGCAGGGAAGAAGAAUGACGGUACCUGACUAAGAAGCACCGGCUAAAUACGUGCCAGCAGCCCGCGGUAAUACGUAUGGUGCAAGCGUUAUCCGGAAUUUACUGGGUGUAAAGGGAGCGCAGGCGGUGCGGCAAGUCUGAUGUGAAAGCCCGGGGCUCAACCCCGGUACUGCAUUGGAAACUGUCGUACUAGAGUGUCGGAGGGGUAAGUGGAAUUCCUAGUGUAGCGGUGAAAUGCGUAGAUAUUAGGAGGAU